RNAcentral lists this long non-coding RNA (743 nucleotides) under Calidris pugnax (ruff). RNAcentral describes it as "lncRNA (ENSCPUG00000000676.1)". The record is from RNAcentral. Lineage: Eukaryota; Metazoa; Chordata; Aves; Charadriiformes; Scolopacidae.
CCCAUCUAUGGGGCUGGUGUGGGGUUGAUCCCCCAUCCAUGGGGCAGGGGCGGUGCUAGAUCCCACCUAUGGGGCCGAGCCCCCCAUCUCGGGGGGCCCCAUCCUACUUUUGGGUGUAAAACAGGCACAACUGGGCAAUAUGGGGUGACCAUAAAGAGGUUUAUUGACCCCAGAACCCUCCGGAUGCCCCCAGCCAGCCCCUGGGGGAGGGGGAGGGUUAAUUAGUGUCUGAAGUCGUUAACGAGGCGGAGCCGCUCAUUAGGAGUCCGGAAGGGGGGGGGGGAAGGGGGGAGCAUUCCCGGUGUUUUGGGGGCAUUACCAGUAUUCCCGGUGUUCCCAGUAUUCCCAGUCUCGGGGAGCAAUCCCAGCAUUCCGGAGCAUUCCCAGUAUUCCUAGUGUUCUGGAGCAUUCCUGGUGUUCCUGGAACAUUCCCGGUGUUCCCAGCGUUGGGAAUCGUUCCCAGUGUUCCCAGUAGUGGGGAGCAUUCCCAGUAUGCCUGGUGUUCUGGAGCGUUCCUGGGGUUCCCGAUGUUGGGGAGCAUUCCCAGUAUUCCCAGUCUCGGGGAGCAAUCCCAGCAUUCCGGAGCAUUCCUGAUGUUCUGGAGCAUUCCUGGGGCUUCCCAGUAUUCCCAGUAUCCCCAGCACUGGGGAGCAUUCCCAGUAUUCCCAACAUUCCCAUCUGCCAAAUCCAGCUCCGGCUCCGUUCCGGGAUGAGCCAAUUCCGGGUGGAUUUACCCCAAAAUU